ACUCCUACGGAAGGCAGCAGUGGGGAAUCUUGCGCAAUGGGCGAAAGCCUGACGCAGCGACGCCGCGUGGGUGACGAAGGCCUUCGGUUGUAAGCCCUGUGGGGUAGGAACGAACUGGCAUCGGGCUAAUAUCUCGGUGUCUUGACGGUACUGCCUUAGCAAGCAUCGGCUAACUCUGUGCCAGCAGCCGCGGUAAUG
RNAcentral lists this ribosomal RNA (198 nucleotides) under uncultured bacterium. RNAcentral's name for it is "partial 16S ribosomal RNA". It matches the Rfam family "Bacterial small subunit ribosomal RNA", at positions 335 to 525 of the family's 1533-position model. The record is from RNAcentral.